This 429-nucleotide ribosomal RNA is filed under the name Actinomycetes bacterium. RNAcentral describes it as "Actinobacteria bacterium partial 16S ribosomal RNA". It matches the Rfam family "Bacterial small subunit ribosomal RNA", at positions 355 to 776 of the family's 1533-position model. The record is from RNAcentral. Lineage: Bacteria; Bacillati; Actinomycetota; Actinomycetes.
UAGGGAAUUUUCCGCAAUGGGCGAAAGCCUGACGGAGCAACGCCGCGAGAGUGAUGAAGGCCUUCGGAUCGUAAAACUCUGUUAUUAGGGAAGCACAAAUGUGUAAGUAACUAUGCACGUCUUGACGGUACCUAAUCAGAAAGCCACGGCUAACUACGUGCCAGCAGCCGCGGUAAUACGUAGGUGGCAAACGUAAUCCGGAAAUAAUGGGCGUAAAGCGCGCGUAGGCGGUUUUUUAAGUCUGAUGUGAAAGCCCACGGCUCACCCGUGGAGGGUCAUUGGAAACUGGAAAACUUGAGGGCAGAAGAGGAAAGUGGAAUUCCAUGUGUAGCGGUGAAAUGCGCAGAGAUAUGGAGGAACACCAGUGGCGAAGGCGACUUUCUGGUCUGUAACUGACGCUGAUGUGCGAAAGCGUGUGGAUCAAACAGG